This 58-nucleotide transfer RNA is filed under the name Diplodactylus conspicillatus (fat-tailed gecko). RNAcentral describes it as "tRNA-Cys". The record is from RNAcentral. Lineage: Eukaryota; Metazoa; Chordata; Lepidosauria; Squamata; Diplodactylidae.
CAGUCCGGCAGUCAUCAAAUUGCAAAUUUGAAGAAGCACCCUAAAGGGUGCCCGGACU